This is a long non-coding RNA of Etheostoma cragini (Arkansas darter), 464 nucleotides long. RefSeq lists it as uncharacterized. The transcript is spliced from 4 exons. NCBI's taxonomy places the organism in Eukaryota, Metazoa, Chordata, Actinopteri, Perciformes, Percidae. The record is from RefSeq and is a predicted model, not a curated record.
AGGCCGAGCAACAAAGAAGGUAGCAAUGCUAGUUGAUAGAUUCAACUUUUGCCUUAUCCGGUCGGCAAAACUCUGAACACACCUUCCUUUUUUAAGUUCAGUGCCAUUCUUUGUUCUUUUCUCAAAGAAUAGCUUAACUCCAAGUCUUCCAGAGUCACGGCCAUAGCCAAUUCGCCAGCAGCAUCAGUCAUCUUCUUUGUUUUCAAGUAGCAGGGAAUUUAAGGGGAAUCGUCGCAACUCUGCCAUCAUUAUGUUAAGCCCGCCCACAGACUCUAUACGCAAUGUGAUUGGCCGGACUACAGUUAGAAUUUUUCAGCUCGCGAGCCAACGGAGAGUUGCUAGCCCAAAUUGCUAGAUUUUUGGGCUAGAUAAGCAGAUCACUGGUGCAGAUGAGCAGCGUUAAGAACAAGACUUGAGGACAAAAUCCUUAUCCUGCCUCGUGACAUUCAUUUUCAACAAGUAUU